This 2766-nucleotide ribosomal RNA is filed under the name Triticum aestivum (bread wheat). Its description in RNAcentral is "partial small subunit ribosomal RNA". The record is from RNAcentral. Lineage: Eukaryota; Viridiplantae; Streptophyta; Magnoliopsida; Poales; Poaceae.
AUGGAGAUGAAACCCAAAAGAUUUUCGUUGGGGCGUAACCCUCUCAGCGACGCGCCACAUCGGAACCCGGGUGUGGUGGAAAAUGGGCAAGGGCCGGGCCGUCACCCCCCAAGUGGCGCGCCGUAUCUUGAUCCGGAUACGGUGGCAAGUGAGCGAGGAUCGGGUCGUCGCAUCCUUAGUGGCGCGCUACAUCGGCGCCCGGAUGUAGUGGAAAAUGAGCAAGGGUCUUCGCAUUUGACUCGACGAGUGCGAAGGGUAAGGAAGCUAGCCGAGCCUAGGAGGAUUCGCUUAGGUAGCUGGAACGUAGGGUCUCUGACAGGGAAGCUUCGGGAGCUAGUUGAUGCAGCAGUGAGGAGAGGUGUUGAUAUCCUUUGCGUCCAAGAAACCAAAUGGAGAGGACAGAAGGCGAAGGAGGUGGAGGAUACCGGCUUCAAGUUGUGGUACACGGGGACGGCUGCAAACAAAAAUGGCGUAGGCAUCUUGAUCAACAAGAGCCUCAAGUAUGGAGUGGUAGACGUCAGGAGACGUGGGGACCGGAUUAUCCUGGUCAAGCUGGUAGCUGAGGACUUGGUUCUCAAUGUUAUCAGCGCAUAUGCCCCGCAAGUAGGCCACAAUGAGAACACCAAGAGGGAGUUCUGGGAAGGCUUGGAAGACAUGGUUAGGAGUGUACCGAUUGGUGAGAAGCUCUUCAUAGGAGGAGACCUCAAUGGCCACGUGGGUACAUCUAACACAGGUUUUGAAGGGGCGCAUGGGGGCUUUGGCUAUGGCAUCAGGAAUCAAGAAGGAGAAGAUGUCUUAAGCUUUGCUCUAGCCUACAACAUGAUUGUAACUAACACCCUCUUUAGAAAGAGAGAAUCACAUCUGGUGACUUUUAGUAGUGGCCAACACUCUAGCCAGAUUGAUUUCAUCCUCUCGAGAAGAGAAGAUAGGCGUGCGUGCCUAGACUGUAAGGUGAUACCUGGGGAGAGUGUUGUACCCCAGCAUAAGCUGGUGGUUGCUGACUUCCGCUUUCGGAUUCGUGUCCAGCGGGAUAAGCGUGCCAAGGUCGCUAGAACGAAGUGGUGGAAGCUCAAGGGGGAGGUAGCUCAGGUGUUCAAGGAGAGGGUAUUUAAGGAGGGCCCUUGGGAGGAAGGAGGGGAUGCGGACAAUGUGUGGAUGAAGAUGGCGACUUGCAUUCGUAAGGUGGCCUCGGAGGAGUUUGGAGUGUCCAGGGGAAGGAGAAGCGAAGAUAACGAUACCUGGUGGUGGAAUGAUGAUGUCCAGAAGGCGCUUAAAGAGAAGAAAGAUUGCUUCAGACGCCUAUACCUGGAUAGGAGUGCAGACAACAUAGAGAAGUACAAGAUGGCAAAGAAGGCCGCAAAUCGAGCUGUUGGUGAAGCAAGGGGUCGGGCAUAUGAGGACCUCUACCAACGGUUAGGCACGAAGGAAGGUGAAAGGGACAUCUAUAAGAUGGCUAAGAUCCGGGAGAGGAAGACGAGGGAUAUUGGCCAAGUCAAAUGCAUCAAGGACGGAGCAGGCCAACUCUUGGUGAAGGACGAAGAGAUUAAGCAUAGAUGGCGGGAGUACUUCGACAAGCUGUUCAAUGGGGAGAAUGAGAGUUCUACCAUUGAACUGAAUGACUCCUUUGAUGAGACCAGCAUGCGUUUUGUGCGGCGCAUCCAGGAGUCUGAGGUGAAGGAGGCUUUAAAAAGGAUGAAAGGAGGCAAGGCGAUGGGCCCUGAUUGUAUCCCCAUUGAGGUGUGGAAAGGUCUCGGGGACGUAGCGAUAGUAUGGCUAACCAAGCUUUUCAACCUCAUUUUUCGGGCAAACAAGAUGCCAGAAGAAUGGAGACGGAGUAUAUUAGUAUCAAUCUUCAAGAACAAGGGGGAUGUUCAGAGUUGUACUAAUUACCGUGGAAUUAAGCUGAUGAGCCAUACAAUGAAGCUAUGGGAGAGAGUCAUUGAGCACCGCUUAAGAAGAAUGGCAAGCGUGACCAAAAAUCAGUUUGGUUUCAUGCCUGGGAGGUCGACCAUGGAAGCCAUUUUCUUGGUACGACAACUUAUGGAGAGAUAUAGGGAGCAUAAGAAGGACUUGCAUAUGGUGUUCAUUGACUUGGAGAAGGCCUAUGAUAAGAUACCGCGAAAUGUCAUGUGGUGGGCCUUGGAGAAACACAAAGUCCCAGCAAAGUACAUUACCCUCAUCAAGGACAUGUACAAUAAUGUUGUGACAAGUGUUCGAACAAGUGAUGUCGACACCGAUGACUUCCCGAUUAAGAUAGGACUGCAUCAGGGGUCAGCUUUGAGCCCUUAUCUUUUUGCAUUGGUGAUGGAUGAGGUCACAAGGGGUAUACAAGGAGAUAUCCCAUGGUGUAUGCUCUUUGCGGAUGAUGUGGUGCUAGUUGACGAUAGUCGGACGGGGGUAAAUAGGAAGUUAGAGUUAUGGAGACAAACCUUGGAAUCGAAAGGGUUUAGGCUUAGUAGAACUAAAACCGAGUACAUGAUGUGCGGUUUCAGUACUACUAGCUAUGAGGAGGAGGAGGUUAGCCUUGAUGGCCAGGUGGUACCUCGGAAGGACACCUUUCGGUAUUUGGGGUCAAUGUUGCAGGAGGAUGGGGGUAUUGAUGAAGAUGUGAACCAUCGAAUCAAAGCCGGAUGGAUGAAGUGGCGCCAAGCUUCUGGCAUUCUCUGUGACAAGAGAGUGCCACAAAAGCUAAAAGUUAGGUGUGGCGGAGAUGCGUAUGUUGAGAUGGAUGUGUGGCCACACGAGGAAGGAUCGAGUCUGGAAUGA